GACGAGUACCUCAAGCGUUAUCCGGAUUUAUUGGGCGUAAAGGGUCCGCAGGUGGUUUUGUAAGUCCUUAGUUAAAGCCUGCCGCCUAACGGCAGAACAGCUGGGGAUACUGCAAAACUUGAGGAUGGGAGAGGCAAACGGAACGUAGGGAGUAGGGAUGAAAUCCGUUGAUACCCUACGGAACGCCAAAGGCGAAGGCAGUUUGCUAGAACAUCCUGACACUCAGGGACGAAAGCUAGGGGAGCGAAACGG
RNAcentral lists this unclassified non-coding RNA (252 nucleotides) under uncultured Patescibacteria group bacterium. Its description in RNAcentral is "contains 16S-23S intergenic spacer region". It matches the Rfam family "Bacterial small subunit ribosomal RNA", at positions 524 to 776 of the family's 1533-position model. The record is from RNAcentral.